Molecule: long non-coding RNA, 689 nt
Organism: Temnothorax curvispinosus
Lineage: Eukaryota; Metazoa; Arthropoda; Insecta; Hymenoptera; Formicidae
Exons: 7
Source: RefSeq, a predicted model, not a curated record
CAGAAGGCGGCUGACACGGAACGGAUCGGCUCCCGAACGAGUGGCGUCGCGGCUCAUUUUAAUCGAACGCGACGAAUACGAGACGGAGACGGAUCGGUUCCGGAACGAGUGGCAUGACUUAUUUAAUUGGAAACAGAUGUGAGUGCCGAAGGAAUAACAAUGCGGAAUGAAGAGAAGAGCCGAAGGAAGCGAGGACCAAUAUGUAACAAUUAAAUAGUGAGAUCAGUCAUCUUGUAUAUGUAUAACUCGUCUAUUGUGUAAUGCAAGUAAAAAAGAGGGUCUGGAUGAUAGAACUCGAGAGGAAAAUGAGGAGGUCUAUGAUGAGAACUAUCGAUGUGCCGGCGGAACAACCUUGCGAAUUAUCGUAGCUAUUGCUGACAACUCCGCUGUCGAUCGAUGAGUGACAAACAACGAAACAACAUUAUUAAUAAGAAGAAAACAAUGCGGAAAGUGUCGCAUUAAGGGAGCUGACAACCCGAGAGGACAGCCUGAGAGGAGGAGGAGGCCUGGGAGAGGCAUCAGGUGCCAGCGGAACAACUUUGCGAAUCAACGUAGCUACGUGGCAGAUAUAAUUCCGCGGUUGCGCAUCAGGGUCGGUGAGUGAUAAAUUAACAUAUUUAUUGUAAUAACAGAUGUGUGGCAAUUAAAUUGUUAAAUAUACGUAUCAUAUGAUUUAGAAAUGUAUGCAA